AGAUUGAACGCUGGCGGCAUGCCUUACACAUGCAAGUCGAACGGUAGAGUAGCAAUACUUGAGAGUGGCGAACGGGUGAGUAAUAUAUCGGAACGUGCCCAGUCGUGGGGGAUAACGUAGAGAAAUUUACGCUAAUACCGCAUACGAUCUAAGGAUGAAAGCGGGGGACCGUAAGGCCUCGCGCGAUUGGAGCGGCUGAUAUCAGAUUAGGUUGUUAGGUGAGGUAAAAGCUCGACCAAGCCGACGAUCUGUAGCUGGUUUGAGAGAACGACCAGCCACACUGGGACUGAGACACGGCCCAGACUCCGUACGGAGGCCAGCGAGUGGGGAAUUUGGACAAGUGGGCGAAAGCCUGACUCCAGCAAUGACCGCGUGCAGGAAGAGGCCUUCGGGUAGUAACUGUGUUUGUACGGUAACGUAACGGUCUAGACUUAAUAC
Molecule: ribosomal RNA, 438 nt
Filed under: uncultured soil bacterium
Lineage: Bacteria
Description: bacterial SSU rRNA
Rfam family: Bacterial small subunit ribosomal RNA
Source: RNAcentral